This 429-nucleotide ribosomal RNA is filed under the name Acidobacteriota bacterium. RNAcentral's name for it is "Acidobacteria bacterium partial 16S ribosomal RNA". It matches the Rfam family "Bacterial small subunit ribosomal RNA", at positions 355 to 776 of the family's 1533-position model. Lineage: Bacteria; Pseudomonadati; Acidobacteriota. The record is from RNAcentral.
UGGGGAAUUUUGGACAAUGGGGGAAACCCUGAUCCAGCCAUCCCGCGUGUGCGAUGAAGGCCUUCGGGUUGUAAAGCACUUUUGGCAGGAAAGAAACGUCAUGGGUUAAUACCCCGUGAAACUGACGGUACCUGCAGAAUAAGCACCGGCUAACUACGUGCCAGCAGCCGCGGUAAUACGUAGGGUGCAAGCGUUAAUCGGAAUUACUGGGCGUAAAGCGUGCGCAGGCGGUUCGGAAAGAAAGAUGUGAAAUCCCAGAGCUCAACUUUGGAACUGCAUUUUUAACUACCGGGCUAGAGUGUGUGAGAGGGAGGUGGAAUUCCGCGUGUAGCAGUGAAAUGCGUAGAUAUGCGGAGGAACACCGAUGGCGAAGGCAGCCUCCGGGGAUAACACUGACGCUCAUGAACGAAAGCGUGGGGAGCAAACAGG